UUCGCGAGGUUCCGUGCUCCUCUCCCGCUCCCUCUUCCCCAGCUCCCCGUAGCGCGGGCUCCGCUCCUCCCCCGGAGCCCCGCCCCCGACGCCUGGCGCUCCGCCCCGCCCUCGCUCGGCUCCCUGCCCCGCCCCGCCCGCCUUCCCCCGCUUGUCUUCCAGCGCCGCCUGCGCUCCGGAGCGCUGGCUCUGCUGGCGCUGAGAAAUGGACCAAUUUUGACAAGAUAUAGUGCUGCAGCGUGCCUGAUGGGAUAUAUUCAGUCAUGGCAUCCGAACUUUGUAAGACGAUCUCUGUGGCAAGGCUGGAAAAGCACAAGAAUUUGUUCUUAAAUUAUAGGAAUCUGCACCAUUUUCCAUUGGAGUUACUGAAAGAUGAGGGACUGCAGUACUUGGAGAGACUCUAUAUGAAAAGGAACUCCCUGACAUCCUUGCCAGAAAACCUUGCUCAGAAGCUUCCAAACCUUGUGGAACUAUACCUGCACUCAAAUAACAUAGUUGUGGUUCCAGAAGCCAUUGGGUCUCUCGUAAAACUCCAAUGUCUGGAUCUUAGUGACAAUGCCUUAGAAAUUGUUUGCCCAGAAAUUGGUCGUCUGAGAGCUUUACGUCAUCUUCGAUUAGCUAAUAACCAACUGCAAUUCCUACCUCCAGAGGUUGGCGAUUUGAAGGAGCUGCAGACACUAGACAUUUCUACCAAUCGUUUGCUAACUUUACCCGAGAGGCUUCACAUGUGCCUUUCUCUGCAGUACCUCACUGUGGACCGAAAUCGUCUAUGGUAUGUGCCGCGCCAUCUCUGCCAGCUGCCCAGCCUCAAUGAGCUCUCCAUGGCUGGAAACCGUCUUGCAUUUUUGCCACUUGAUUUAGGUCGAUCUCGAGAACUACAAUAUGUAUAUGUGGAUAACAACAUUCACCUGAAAGGCUUGCCAUCUUACCUAUACAAUAAAGUCAUCGGGUGCAGUGGCUGUGGUGCUCCCAUUCAAGUUUCCGAGGUGAAGCUGCUUUCCUUUUCAUCAGGGCAGCGAACCGUUUUCCUCCCAGCUGAGGUGAAGGCCAUAGGGACAGAGAAUGAUCACGUCCUCCCUCUGCAGGAAUUGGCCAUGAGAAGUCUGUAUCAUACCUACCACAGCUUGCUGAAAGAUUUGAACUUUCUGUCUCCAAUCUCAUUACCCAGAAGUCUCCUGGAGCUGCUGCACUGCCCUCUGGGGCACUGUCAUCGGUGUAGUGAGCCUAUGUUUACCAUCGUCUACCCCAAGCUCUUUCCCCUGAGAGAGACGCCAAUGGCAGGGCUGCACCAGUGCAGCAAGAAGAAACCAAGCUGUGCCUUCAACACUUUGCUUAGAAAUCUCCUCAGCCAAAUAUCCAAGUUAUCACUUACAAAUUCUGCUUUCCAUCCAACAGAACACAAUUCACUCAAGUCCUGUGCUACUUUAUAACAAGGAUCACCUUUCUUCCAGUUUCCAAUAAUACAUUCCUCAUUUGCAGUCUGAGAACUCGCCAGCAGCAUCUUUAACAUUUUUAUUUCUAGCAACAUUCUGUUCCUGACAAUGUAUUUUCUAAGACAUUAGAAACUUUAUAGCUCCUGCCUUUCUUUUGUGAGCCCUCACUAGAUUCUUUAUUUCUCCCAAUAAUCUCUUUUCUAUCACACACCUCAAAACUCUUCCAGCCUCUAUUCAUUACCCCAUGUCAAAGCCACUUCCACAUUUUUAGGUAUUUGUCACAGCAGCAUCCCACUUCCUGAUAGCAAAAUGUCUCACAUUGAAAGAGAGAGAAUGACUGAUUUUAAGAAAUUGGCUCACACAAUUGCAAAGGCUGGCAAGCUCAGAACUGUGGGGCAGACUGGCAGCCUGGACGUUGAGGAAGACAACUGUUAGUUUUGUGGCUUACUGCUGCUCCAACCAGUGUCUGCAGACUUUUGACCUGCUGAGUUGAUAAACACUCAAGAACCUCAGGAGCGCUGCCAGCUUGACACUGGGGAAUCCAGCCAGUCCAGCACACUCUUCCAUCCUAUCCUGUCCAAUGCGGGGGCACUGCAGAACUCUCUGGAAAUGUCAUGAUUGAGCUUCAGAGCUGAAAUGCCUUCACCCUUCCCCCAAGUUGGAAUAUAUCCUCCCCCACAUUAAGGACCCGUUUGUCUUCUGUGUUUUUCCUUUUUAUGUGAGUGUGUCUUUUACACAAACUGUUUAGAUUGAUGGGCCUCCCCAAAUCUAAUUUAAAGCAAGUUUCAGGUCCCUGGAGAACAGUGAUUUGAUAGUCUAGCCAGAUUCCCUUUUGAACACACAUACCUUCAGUGAUGCUUCCUCUCCUCUCCCUUGCUCUCCCCAGAGAGUUAUUUCCCCGAGGCCACAUUCUCCACAGUGUCUCCAGUGGAAACUUGGCAGUUUUUGAGGAGUUUCAGCAAACCCCAUGGCCUCAAUGGUCUUGAGUAGCAGGGUGGGGUGCCUGAGUUGGCGGCAAAGUGAGGCUCCCAUGGAGGCUCAGUGAGGAUCCCAGAGCACACACCCUCUGGAAAGUUCCAGCCUUGUUUAUAUGUUUUACAAUGUAGCAACAGACUUUUGUGAGGGAUUUUAAAAACAAAAAUGUAGGUUGUAAUGAAAUAUACUUCUUGUUUUUUAAAAGUGUUUGCAGAAAAAUGAUUUUUGAAGUUUUUGAAUUUCCUGAUAAGAUUUUUUUUAUAUGAGAAGAAUUUGAGGAAUAUUUGAAGCUUUACAAGAUCUGAUUUUUUUUCUUUCUCAAUAUAAACAGUUUCCAUACAACGAGAAAGGGGAAGAAAACACACAUUGAAAUAAGACUUCAGUGUUCCUUUUUGAUGGGUUUAUGAUUCAAUUUAUACUGACUUUGAAAUAUUUUUGUCACAUGUGAAAGACAGGCUUCACCUACUUCCACUACUAGUUUUUAACAGGAUGAUUCAAAGUACAGCCUGUGCACAUUUACCUAGUCACCUGAUGCAUGAUAUUGUCUUCAUGUUGACCCUCAUUUCUUGUAUACUUAGCAUACUGCCCAGAUGCAACUGAGAAAAUACAGGAAAAGCAGGUCCAAAUUCAGCCUUCGACUUCUGCAAAAGUCCAUAAACAGAAAGUCUGUGAGCCUCCACCCUGCCAGAAAGAACUGCUCUUCAUGAAGGAGUCACGUAUUUGCUCUUCCUUUCAAAGGAUGGCAUUUUAAUGUUGCUUUGCUGCCAGAUGUUCAUCUGGUUGCUGUGAAGUGAUUCUUUUUUUAAAAUGUUUUUUAAUGAUGUAAGUUUUCUAAAAGGCAGGGCUGAAUGGAGAACCAAGGAUUUGCUUGGUAGAAAAAUUAUUUUCCUAAAAUUUCAGACUUACCAAAAAUUUGGUUGAUGGAAUUUUUAUUAGCUGCCCUGACUUUAUAAUGCUACGCUCAAACAGUGCCAAAAAAUCCUACAUAGUUACUGACAAAUGUGUGAUCUUUUUACAGUCACACCACCUGCUGCCCGGAAAGCACACCAUCCACGUAGAAUGGAGAAGGCAGAAAGUUACCAUGUGUUCCCACUGUAUCUGCACUGUUCUUACUUCCUCUUGUCCCUUUUCAUAACUUGGUCUAUUCAGCCUUAACAUUUCAAAGGCUUAUAGUAAAAUAGGAACUGAAGAUCUGUAUCAAAAUGUAACACUUUCAUCCUUUGGAAUAAUUGAAGUUUUAACAUAACCUCUACAUGUAUAUAAGUUAGCCAGUGAAAAUGUGGCAUGAAACUUCACAAUUGUGCUUCAGGCCUAAGUGACUGCUACCUAUCAUUUAAGUGACAGUAAAUGUCUUGCUACAUUUUUCUAUUUCAUCCUCUACAAUCAUAUGUCAUGGAAUGGAGCUAUGAAAUAUGCUAACUUGGUAUUCAGGAUUCUCAUUGUGAUAAGGUAAUACAUUAGUUUUACCUUGUUUGAAAUUUUAUGAAGAUGCUUACAAUCCAAGCAUUCUUUCUCUACCUAUUAUGAACUACGGUGUGUUAAACAACAGCAGUGGGCUGGGCAGACAACCUUUGGGCAGUCUCAAACUUAAUCCUUGGGUACAGCACCUGAACUUAAUUGAUGAGAAGUGGAACUUAAAUGGUUUCCCUGGUGCUGUUCAUUAUGGAAAUUUUAUGCUUGAUUUAUCGAUGUCAUUCUUAAUCUUUUGAUACUAUAAAGGAGUGUUAUCAACUGGAGAAAA
RNA transcript from Symphalangus syndactylus (siamang), 4149 nucleotides. It is a transcript of the gene named leucine rich repeat containing 28, with no coding region annotated. The record is from RefSeq and is a predicted model, not a curated record. Lineage: Eukaryota; Metazoa; Chordata; Mammalia; Primates; Hylobatidae.